This 79-nucleotide small RNA is filed under the name Flavobacterium frigoris. Its description in RNAcentral is "Flavo-1 RNA". It matches the Rfam family "Flavo-1 RNA". Lineage: Bacteria; Pseudomonadati; Bacteroidota; Flavobacteriia; Flavobacteriales; Flavobacteriaceae. The record is from RNAcentral.
GAUUUGCGUGAGGGAUAGCAGUGAAAAUCCUUUACGGAACGGAGUGGAGUAAAGAUUGUAACGAAUAGCCCGACCCGAA